RNAcentral lists this long non-coding RNA (406 nucleotides) under Elaeis guineensis (African oil palm). RNAcentral's name for it is "long non-coding RNA (EGUI_LNC021263)". The record is from RNAcentral. Lineage: Eukaryota; Viridiplantae; Streptophyta; Magnoliopsida; Arecales; Arecaceae.
UGCACUAUCAUGACAAAGAUCUAUUACAACAUGUGGUGGGUUUUGAUAAGGUAGAUUCAUGAUAUGGCUGGAAGCAUUGAUUGAAACCCUAAAACUUUGAUCAACAUGUUAGAAGGCUUACCGACUUUUGAUUGAUGCGAAAUGUCACCUCACACCAUUUUUCGAUGCUAGAAACAUAGUCAUCUAGUCAGUUUUUCAAUUUGAGGCAUCGAGAUGCAUGAAACAUUACUAAUAGCCCUUAUAUGCAUCCAAAAAUCACGAACUUCAAUCAAUCUUGUCCCAAAAGAAGAGAAGAGAAAAAAUCUAAUGAUGCUCUGAUAUCAAUUGUUGGAGAUUUUUAAAGACAAGUAGAUAAAGCAAAUAGGCAUAUAAAAAUAAAAAUACAAAGAGAACACAAAAACUUACG